UACACAAAAAUGCACAUGCUGUGAGCUCGAUGAGUAGGGCGGGACACGUGGUAUCCUGUCUGAAUAUGGGGGGACCAUCCUCCAAGGCUAAAUACUCCUGACUGACCGAUAGUGAACCAGUACCGUGAGGGAAAGGCGAAAAGAACCCCGGCGAGGGGAGUGAAAAAGAACCUGAAACCGUGUACGUACAAGCAGUGGGAGCCUCUUUAUGGGGUGACUGCGUACCUUUUGUAUAAUGGGUCAGCGACUUAUAUUCUGUAGCAAGGUUAACCGAAUAGGGGAGCCGAAGGGAAACCGAGUCUUAACUGGGCGUUAAGUUGCAGGGUAUAGACCCGAAACCCGGUGAUCUAGCCAUGGGCAGGUUGAAGGUUGGGUAACACUAACUGGAGGACCGAACCGACUAAUGUUGAAAAAUUAGCGGAUGACUUGUGGCUGGGGGUGAAAGGCCAAUCAAACCGGGAGAUAGCUGGUUCUCCCCGAAAGCUAUUUAGGUAGCGCCUCGUGAAUUCAUCUCCGGGGGUAGA
RNAcentral lists this ribosomal RNA (524 nucleotides) under Escherichia coli. RNAcentral describes it as "partial 23S ribosomal RNA". It matches the Rfam family "Bacterial large subunit ribosomal RNA", at positions 376 to 906 of the family's 2925-position model. Lineage: Bacteria; Pseudomonadati; Pseudomonadota; Gammaproteobacteria; Enterobacterales; Enterobacteriaceae. The record is from RNAcentral.